GACGAACGCUGGCGGCGUGCUUAACACAUGCAAGUCGAACGAGAAAGCCCUUCGGGGUAAGUACAGUGGCGAACGGGUGAGUAACACGUGGGCAACCUGCCCCGGAGAGCGGGACAACCCGAGGAAACUCGGACUAAUACCGCAUGAUGCGUCUCCACUUAAGUGGAGCCGCCAAAUGGUAGCUUCGGCCUCCGCCCUGGGAUGGGCCCGCGCCGAAUUAGCUAGUUGGUUGGGGUAAUGGCCCACCAAGGCGACGAUCCGUAGCUGGUCUGAGAGGACGAUCAGCCACACUGGGACUGAGACACGGCCCAGACUCCUACGGGAGGCAGCAGUGGGGAAUCUUGCGCAAUGGGCGAAAGCCUGACGCAGCAACGCCGCGUGAGGGAAGAAGGCCUUCGGGUUGUAAACCUCUUUCAGUAGGGACGAAGCUUCCGGGGUUAAUAGCCCACGGGGUGACGGUACCUACAGAAGAAGCCCCGGCUAACUACGUGCCAGCCGCCGCCGUAA
RNAcentral lists this ribosomal RNA (507 nucleotides) under uncultured bacterium. Its description in RNAcentral is "partial 16S ribosomal RNA". It matches the Rfam family "Bacterial small subunit ribosomal RNA", at positions 28 to 523 of the family's 1533-position model. The record is from RNAcentral.